Camelus dromedarius (Arabian camel) is the source of this 525-nucleotide long non-coding RNA. RefSeq lists it as uncharacterized. NCBI's taxonomy places the organism in Eukaryota, Metazoa, Chordata, Mammalia, Artiodactyla, Camelidae. The record is from RefSeq and is a predicted model, not a curated record. The transcript has 3 exons.
CUGUCUAAUCCCUGGCAGCUGGACUCUUGAGGUUUGGUGGGACAAGAGGGCGGCAAGUUCUCAGUGUCGGAGCGCUGGCUCUCUGAUGGGGCAGGCCUCCCACAGCUCCCGGAAACAGCAGAGCACUGAGCGCCAGGACCUUUGAAUGGACCACUGCAGACUGACAAAGUCUCCUCAGUGUUUUCCCUGUACAGUGCAAAUCCAAGAACAACCCAAAGAAUGAAGAAGGAACCACAAAACAGCUAGAUUUGCAAAAGAAGUCAGAGUGAUGCUAUGUUAGGAUUCAAUCUGCCAUUGCUGGCUUUGAAGAUGGAGGAAGAAAGCCAUGAGCUAAGGAAUGUGGAUGGCAUCUAGAAGCUGGAAAAGAGUCAGGACAGGACUUGGCCAGAUAAGAAAGGUGACCAAGUUUCCCUGGAGCAACCUCGAACCGUAUCAGUGCCAAGAGAACAAAACACAAGUUACACCUCCUGAGGACACAUUAGAAGAGGCAGCAGUGGACCUGGAGUCCACAAUGAAGGUGCUAGU